UCUCUGCAGUCUGAAGCCCUAAGCAGGGGUGU
Molecule: non-coding RNA, 32 nt
Filed under: Homo sapiens (human)
Lineage: Eukaryota; Metazoa; Chordata; Mammalia; Primates; Hominidae
Source: RNAcentral